GUGAAUAAAAUGAUUCCAACACUAGAGGAAAAAUCCUUAUAGGUUGCUCAUCAAAGGUUGCCCUUAUCAAACAAGUGCAACCCUUAAGAACAAAAAAAAAUUAGAAAAAAAAAUUAAUUAAAAUCUGAAAUUUUGCCUCCAAACAAACGCAGCCCUUUAUCCUAGGAACUAAAAAAAAACGGUACGUCUCUCACAGCUAGCUCCUGCAAACCAUCUCGCACCCUCUCUCCUCCUUCUCAGGUGACCGGAAAUUAUUUCUAGAACCGUAUAUUCCUAUCUCUAGCUUCCCCUCUUCUCUCUUGGGGUUUCGAUGUCGUCGUUUAUGGGGGUUUCCUCUAUCAUUUGAUCGGUGAUUACGAGAAGAAAAAGAAAAGGAGGAAUGGUUCUUUGCCUGUAAAUGCUUCAGGUAUAAAAUGAAUGAGUAUGCAGGCCAGUAUGGAUGGAUGUUACUGGAUUUAUGGGUCCUUUUGGUGGUAAUGUGCCAUAUAACAUGGGGUAUGGUAUGGCUGUAUGGAUAUGACUUUCGGAAACUUUAUUCCUCCAGAGUUUUUUGGGCCUCAAGGGUUCAUGAUGCCCCCAAUGCUUCCUCCUCCUCAAAGGUGUAUGUUGCUGAGAUGUCACAUAGUUUGAUACUCUGUACUUUUAAUUCAUUUUCUUUGGCCAUGAUUCUUUUUCUGCUCAGUGCAUAUUGGCAUUUCCACUAAUAACUGCAGACGAGUGGGAAUGGGAAUACAUUUGUACUUGUAUAUUUUCGUUUCUCAUGCUAUGCAUCCUCAUUGUCACUCUCAGGUACAGAAGUCUAGGUCUAGCGAUGAUAAAGUAGUUGAUGAAAAUCUUUCAUGGUUUAACCUUAAGUUUGCUGACCUUUUUGGUAAAU
Spinacia oleracea (spinach) is the source of this 877-nucleotide long non-coding RNA. RefSeq lists it as uncharacterized. NCBI's taxonomy places the organism in Eukaryota, Viridiplantae, Streptophyta, Magnoliopsida, Caryophyllales, Amaranthaceae. The transcript has 3 exons. The record is from RefSeq and is a predicted model, not a curated record.